UAGGAGUCCUCAAUGAGUCUGUCGCACACACGCACACACAAACACGAGUACGCACGCACGCACGUUCCUCCUACCACCUCCCCACUCCUCCGUUCCCCAAGAGAGAGCUAGCGGCAGAAGGAUGUCUUUUGUGAACCACCUAGGGCAGUCUUCACUGGCGACACGUUACGUGCCGCACUCUGACCUGACGAAGUCGCACUACGAGCGUCUCCUGCUCGACGUGCGCCGCUACCUCCCACCAGGUGUGGAGGACGACGUGGAGGAGAUCGCCGAGCAGGUGUUGAACAUUGUGUGCUCGGCCGCGUCAGGCGCAUCCUCCUCGGCGGCGACCCUGAGCGAGCAGCAUCAAAGUCUUGAGCGGCUGCUGGACACGCGCCUAAGCCGCGAGGUUCGCGACCACCUCAUGCAGUAUGGGAAGCUGAUCACCGACUACGUGGCGAGCGACAAGACAGCGGAGGCAAACGGUACGUAUGGUUUGCCAUCGACGUCCUCCGGUGCGCUGGGUGUACAGGAUUUGAACUUCGCGGGCCCCAGUAGCAGCGACAGUGACAGCAACGACAGCGGCGAUGCCGUGUGUAGCGACGCAGAAGAACGACGCAAUAUCGAGCUACUGACGGGCGGCGCAUCCUCCUCGGCGGCGGAGAGAAAAGGACGGCGCAAGAAGCGCAAGGCACUCAUGAAGGCUGACCAGAACCUAAUGCAAUACGCCUUCGCCGAGGAAGGUGGCAUAGCUGACACGGUAGAGGAAGCAGAAGCGUGGGGGGCUUCCGCGCCACUUGGUGCCGGCGGGGCUGCCGCAGGGGAGUUGAGCUGUGAUGAGUAUGACGAGGAUGGCGCGCUGGCGACGGGGGCCGCGGACACGCCUCGGAUCCCGUUUGAGGAGGUCGCGUGCAACGCGCAGUUUCUCAAAGACGCCGUGCGACGUCUCUUCCCGGCUCACGACGCUGAUACCUGCCACAGCCUAGCACAGCGGGUGCUGAACUUCCUGAGCGAGAGGGAGGAGGAUGACUUCACGCUGGAGACCCAGCUCACCACGUGCCUGGGCGGCUAUGAGGAUGAGGUGGUUAUGGACUGGAUCGGCGACGUGGUGCAGUCGCGCUGGAGCGUUGUGUACGGGCUGCGCUACGCCCAAUGCACAGCACAAAAGGAGCGCCACGCAGUCAUGGAUGCAAUGCAGCGACACGCCCUCGAUGACCCGCGGGUCGAGCACCUGUACCAGAGUAUCACCGGCAAGGAGGUGGACCCACUGAACACAGAACAACUGCAGCAGCGCCGCGAGUCUGCUGCCGCGGGUGGCAACGAGGAGGUCGAAUCUAAGUUGGCGUCCACAGUACCUCGGCAGCCUCUGCUUCGACGAGUGAACCUUCAGGCCUGCGCCUUUCAGGAUGAGCGAGCACCGCACCUGCACGUGCGCGCCACGGUACCGCAAGGCACACAGCGGCUGACCUACGAGACUCACGACGAGGUCCUUCUUCCGCCAACCUCGUCGUGCAACACGUCGAACCCGCUCAUUCGAGUUGCCACGUCUUUCCCAGGCUGGGCGGUGCCGGUAUUCUUGGGCGUGGAGGAGCUCAACGCCAUGCAGUCCAAAGUGUACGACUGCGCCUUCCACUCGGACGAGAACAUGCUGGUGAGCGCGCCGACCGGGGCCGGUAAAACGAAUGUGGCGAUGAUGGCGAUGCUGCGCACCAUCGCGGCAGCUCGCAACCCCGUGACGGGCGUGAUUGAUGGCCACAGUCUGAAGAUGGUGUACGUGGCUCCCAUGAAAGCGCUCGUGCAGGAGGUGGUGCGCACCUUCUCGAAGCGACUGGAGUCGCUCGGCCUCACUGUGGCUGAGCUGUCCGGUGACGCGGCCAUGACGCAGCAGCAGAUGGCCACCACACAGCUGAUUGUGACGACACCGGAGAAGUGGGACAUCGUCACGCGAAAGUCCGUUGAGCUCGGAGUGGCAUCGCUGCUGAAGCUGCUCAUCAUCGAUGAGGUGCACCUUCUCCACAACGAACGCGGCCCGGUGGUAGAGGCGAUUGUGGCGCGCACGAUGCUGCAGCAGCAGCUUCGCGGCGAGGGCGGUAUUCGCCUGGUCGGGCUCAGCGCCACCCUUCCAAACCACGCGGACGUCGCGGCGUUCCUGCAGGUGAACCGUCAGCGCGGUCUCUUUGUGUUCGACAGCAGCUACCGCCCCAUCCCGCUGGAGCAGACCUACUGCGCCAUCAAGAAGAUGAAGGGCGUGGCGCAGAGUGCCGUCAUGAACCUCGUGGCUUACGACAAGGUGCUGCAGACGGUGCAGGCCGAGGAGCAGGUAAUGAUCUUUGUGCACUCGAGGCGGGAGACCGAGCACACGGCGCGCUACCUGCAGAAGCGCGCUGCCGAGGAGCGCCGCGGGUACUACUUUGUGCGCCCCGACAGCGACAGCCACAAGGCGCUGGUGGAGGCCAGUAGCGGAGCCGGUGGUGCCGUGCUGCGCCGCAGCCUGCAGCAGCUUUUGCCGGACGGCUUCGGCAUCCACCACGCCGGCCUCAGCCGAGACGAGCGCAACACGGUGGAGCAGCUCUUUGCAGACCGCCACAUCAAAGUUCUCGUGUGCACGUCGACGCUCGCCUGGGGCGUGAACUUGCCCGCGAACCGCGUUAUCAUAAAGGGCACUCGCGUCUUCAACGGCUCCAAGGGGCAGUCGGAGCUAAUGAGCGCGCUGGACGUGCUGCAGAUGUUCGGGCGAGCCGGCCGUGCGGGCUAUGGCGCGGCCGUGGGCAGGGCCACCAUCAUCACUUCCCCGGAUGACCUUCAUUACUACCUCAGCGUGCUGAACCAGCAACUGCCCAUUGAGUCGCAGAUGAUGCGGCGGGUGGUCGACAUGCUCAACGCCGAGAUCACCCUGGGCCAUGUGGAGACGGUCGAGGAGGGGGUGCAGUGGCUCCAGCGGUCUUACCUGUACGUGCGGAUGCGGCAGGUGCCGGAGGUGUAUGGCAUUCGCGCCAGCGCCAGUGAUCCGCUGCUGCUGCACCACCUCGCCAACAUCGUCCACACAGCUUGUGAGGAGCUGAAGGAGUCAAAGAUGGCUGACUACGACGCCCGCUCCAGGAAGGUGGCCGGCACCGCGUACGGCCGCAUCGCUUCCUACUGCUACAUCACGGUGACAUCCAUGGCCGCCUACCUGGGACUGAUGAGCAACGCCAUGCAGGACGUGGAGCUGUUCCGCGUCUUCGCCUCCUCUAGCGAAUUCGCGAAUAUCGGCGUACGAGCGGAGGAGCAGGCGCAGCUCAAGGAGCUCCUGGAGAACGCUCCGGUGGCGGUCAGGGAGUCGCGCUACACGCCGAUGGCGAAGAUCAACAUCCUACUCCAGUGCUACAUCAGCCAGAAGGGUCUGGAAGGAUUGCCGUUGAUGAGCGAGAUGGUGUACGUGAAAGACUCCGCGCAGCGUAUCCUGCGAGCGCUGCACGAAAUUUCCCUCGUUCGCGAGUACGGUCGCACGGCGCGGCAGUUUCUCGAGCUGUACUUGAUGACGGUACACCGGCAGUGGGCGGUGCAGUCGCCGCUGCGGCAGGUGCGCGAUUACUUACCGGCGAAGCACUUCGAUGCAAUCCUGCCGGCGCUGGAACGCGUGCGCGUGCCGUGGGAGGAGGUGCGGCGGUGGAGCGUCGAGGACCUGGCCGAGAAGCUCAGCGACGACCGGCGCGCGCAGUCUGCGUACGAAGCGAUCCAUGUUGUGCCGCACUACGCCGUCGACGCUGCCGUUCGGCCGCUGACGCGUGGGAUGCUCUACGUGGACAUCGACAUCUUGCCGGACUUCGAUUACGUCGAGUCCCUGCAUGGCUGCUCGGUGUGCGAGGUGCUGCUCAUGAUCGAGCACACGAACGGCCGCCUGCUGCACCACGAGUCCAUCCUGAUCCCCUUGGCAAAUGUGCUGGAGAAAGCCGCCUACGCCUGCCCGCCGGUGGUGGUGCCGAUGGUGGAGCCGGCGCCGACGCACCUGUUCGUGCGUGUGGCCUCCCCGCACUGGCUGGCCGCAACGGCCUUCACCUCGGUGUGCCUGCUGAACACGUUGCUGCCGCCCGUGGCGGCGCCGCUGCGCGAGGUGGAUCAGCGGCCGCCGUCUCAGGAUGCGAACAUCACGUCUGUUACGGAGCGCCUCGCUCCGUAUCAGCUCCACACCGUCGGCGAGAUGCUCUUCCCCUUCCAGGACUUCACGGCGCUGCAGUCGGACCUAAUCGACCCCAUCUUUCUGGAUCAUCCACACAACCUCCUCGUCGGUGUUCCGCCUGGUGGUGGCAAGACGGCCAUCGCGGAGCUCUUCGUCCUGCAGUUUUUGCUCGAGGAGGCGCUGAAGGAGAAGGAGCGGACAGCGGGGGUGCAGCAAAAGCAGCAGCGGGACGAAGAAGAGGGGUCGGCCACACAGUCGACGCUGCUGCUUCCCGGCAAGCUUCUCUACCUCACCAGCAACCCUGACGUCGUGCACCGCCGCGCGCUGGACUGGCGCUACAAGUUUGGCGAGGUGUUGAAGCAGCGUGUCGUGGAGCUCGCCGGCGGCGUGAGCGACGACACGGACGCCGACGACGCCGAGACAGUAAGCAACGCCGUCGAGGUGGCGUCGGCCGCUAUCGUGCUCGCCACCGGCGAGAAUCUUAUUCGCCUUGUGCGUCGCGGUGACUCGGCGCUGGCCGGCGUGACGCACAUCGUCGUUGAUCACCUGCACCUUUUGAGGGCCCCCGAGGGGCAGGCGAUGGAGGAGUGCAUGGCGCGGCUCAACAGUGAGCCGUUCCUUGUGCGGCGCGGUGCAGGGCGCGCGCGCGUGCUGGGACUGACGUACCCACUGAUCAGCACGGCAGAGCUUGGCCGCUGGUUGAAGGUGUCAGUGAGCCACCAGUACAAUUACGGCGCCUCCUACCGGCAGCUGCGAGUGCGCAUGGUUGGCUUGGAGUUGCCUGGCCCCCGAAGCCGCUACGAAAGCGGCGUUAUCGCAGCGCUGAAGCUGCUGCGCCGGCCCUCGUACGCCGCAGUUCCAACGGUGAUCUUCGUUCCAACGGCACACCAGGCGCGAGAGGUGGCGCAGCGCAUACUGCUGCGGUGCCGCGACAACUACAUUCCUGAAACCACCGAGCACGCCACUGACGACGCGCGACUCGCCUUCUUCCUGGCGGCUGGUGUCGCCUACAUGCACAAGGGGACAAGCGAACUCGACGCUCUCGCGAUACAGGAGCUCGUUGACGCACCUGCCGUCUACCCCACUACGCAGGCGUUGUUGCCCUUGCGCCUCGUCUGCGCCUUCGACGCGGCCUGGCGAUUGCCGGCGGCUCUCUUCACGAAUGCCAUCGUGUGCUGCGGGGAGCGUCUGACCGCCUUCGAGAGCGAGGACGGCGAGCGUGGCAUGCGCUAUCAGGACUGCACCGUCGUGGAGCUGAUGCAGAUGGCGUCACGCGCUAUGAACGAGGCGGUGAUGUGCACUCGCACGUCGCGGGUGUGGGUGUUGGGUAAGCUGCUCAACGAGCCGCUACCGCUGGAGUCGAGUCUGCGGUACGCGGACGACUUCCGCGACACGGUGAAUACGGCCAUCGCACAAGGGCGGGCGCACAACCGCGUUGACGUGCUUCGUGUGCUGUCCUCGCACUACUUCCUCUACCACGCCAAGGCGAACCUGCACUUCUACGGUGUGCCCACAGUGGCCGAUGUGUCUCUGUACGCCUCCAGCUUCGCUUCGCAUGUGGUGACCUCGCUGAAGGAGCUGAAGUGCAUCGAGGAGCUUCGAGUGCGGCGGCGCCAUGCGGAUGGCGACGGCGCUGCGGAUGAGGAUGGCGGUAACAGCAACGCAGAGCUCGGGGAGGCCGAGGAGGACGAGGACCCGCACGCCCCUCUGCGACCCACGGCGCGCGGUAUGGCCCUCGCCUACCACUGCAUUGCGGUCAGCACCGCAGAGGACCUCGUCCGUGUCCUGCCGGGCUCCCUCGAGGCCGAGAAGAAGGCCGCCCUCUAUGACUGCACGACGUACCUUUGGCAGAUCCUGUCACACCACUGCGCCGAACUCACGCCGGCGCACCUCGGCGACGCCGCGCGGGUGACGGAGGCGGCGGAGUACCGGGCGCUGCACUCCAUUGCGCGUGCUUUGCCAGAGUCCAUCGGCGUGCGCUACAUCGACCUCGACUUCGGCGCCACAGGGACAAAGAUCUAUGUGCUCGUGCUCGCGUACUGCAGUCGACUCUUCCCUGCCACCCACUUCCAUGCUGCCGGCUCCGCUUCGUCGAUCGAGGAGGGCACCGCAGCGGCGGCCGCCUUCGACGAGCACUUUGGCCACAGCCUCUACCAUGCCGCCGUUCCGGCCGCGGCGCGCGACGCGCUCUGCAACGCCGUGUCGGACGACACCGCUCAGCGCCUCGUGCAAGACGUGCGCUCCAUUCUCCCAACAGUGCGUCGCGUUGUAACUGCGGUCGUGGAGCUUCUGGACGGCGACACACAGGCGUGGGCGGUUGCUCGCCUGAUUCGAUUCGUUGCGUGCCUGCAACAGCAGGGUUGGGACAGCGAGCCGCCGGUGGCGCAGCUGCCGUGCUGGCGCGCGUCGAGGUGGGCGUCCGUUGAUGCCAGGCAGGCCAUUCAAAGCAGCUGCACGCUGCAGGAGCUGCAGACGAACCCGGCGGAAGCUGCGUCAAAGCUGGAGCCCGCUCUGCGUGGUGUCUUGACUACUGAUGACGCUGCGGUGGUGGUGCCCCGCGUGCUUGCCUCUGCAGCGCAGGACGCUGCGGGAGUGCCGCAGGUGGUGUCGAUCAGUGCCAAGGGGCGCGUUGAGGAGAUGAAUGGCGUGCUAGCCAUGGUGGUAGGUGUGACUGCGCAGCUCCGCUGGAGCGCGCCAACGACGCUGAAGUUGUCCAAGGGCAGCGACGGCGCCGAUCGCACAUCACAGGACGACCUCACCGAAGAUGCUGCACCGGCGUUGAAGUGGUGGGUGCGGUGUGUCAUCUCGCAUCGGUCGUCCGUCACUUCACGAGCUGGGGCGUCAGCGGGCACUCGGCAGCUGGCCCUGCGAGUUAGCGUGGCGAAAAGCGUCACGGGCGCAGAGGCGACGUCGUUGUAUGAGGUCUCCUCAGACGUUUUUUUUUCCUUGGCGCGGCUGGAGGCGGAGGACUUGGACGCUGUGGAGAUGCGCGCGGUCUUGACGAGCAUGGCUUACUGCGGAGUUGAAGCCACGGCUGCAGUGCGGUUCGAGGCAGACGAGGAAGAGGUCGAGGACGGAGAAGGCAUAUGACCCGUUGGUGGUGGUGGUGGUAGCAGUGGUGAUGAGCCUGCAGAGAGGCAUCUGAAAACUCGUGUGCGUAAUAUGGGGAGGAGCUCAAGCUGACUGGAGCGAGAUGCUCUUCACGGUAAGUGGCGGUGACGAGUUGGUGGCGCCGAGAAUGCGAUGAACGAUGACAAUAGUGGCUGUGGUACGGGCGCUGAGUGAGGGCGGCGGUAGCGGUGGCAGUAGUGGUGGCAUCGACUGGGUGUAGGGGGGAGAUGAGUGGCCGAGUGAGGAGUGCUGCACCCCCCCACCCCCACCCCUCCUGCUCCCUUGCUCCCGUCGGAUACCCUUUGCAUCAUCGCUUACGCUUCCCACGCACCACUACCCUCUUCUUUUUCGGGCCACUAAAGAGGUGCAGCGAAGAACCGAUAAAGACGACGAGCUUCGAUAGUCUUUGGCAGCAGCGGCGAGGGCAACGCCAACAACCAUGAGGGCGAAUAUGCAGAGUUGCGCAGGCGGACGCAUGCCUUGGCUUCCUUCUUUCUCCAUGUAUGUGUCGAGAGGCACGACGGGGUGGUUGGUGCAUCGUUCACGAGCUCUCAAAGGGACGCGCACUCAGAGGCCAUGUGCGUGGCUUGCUCUGCUGUUCUGGCGCCCUCCCCCUCCUCCCUUUCCGGUUGGCGCUUAGUGAGUAUGCGCGUAGGCGAGGAUGUAGCGGGCUGAUGUGGGCGGAGAAGCCCGCGAAUGCAAGCAGAGCACAAAAAGGAGGGAGGCAAAGAGAGCGGGGCGCGUUCCUCCGCCACUCUCAGCAUCACAUCUCAUGCGCGCUAUAGGUGAUAUACCGCCAGCCCCAUUCUCAACCCCAUUCUGCAUCUUCCCUUUGCCUUCAUCUCUUCCUCCUUCUUUCCAACGCUUUCUCGUCUCGUGCUACCACCAG
RNAcentral lists this unclassified non-coding RNA (8138 nucleotides) under Leishmania donovani. RNAcentral describes it as "gene:LdHU3.17.1450(CDS-product:ATP-dependent_RNA_ helicase_putative)". The record is from RNAcentral. Lineage: Eukaryota; Euglenozoa; Kinetoplastea; Trypanosomatida; Trypanosomatidae.